This 810-nucleotide ribosomal RNA is filed under the name Tricharina gilva. RNAcentral describes it as "eukaryotic LSU rRNA". It matches the Rfam family "Eukaryotic large subunit ribosomal RNA", at positions 66 to 891 of the family's 3401-position model. The record is from RNAcentral. Lineage: Eukaryota; Fungi; Ascomycota; Pezizomycetes; Pezizales; Pyronemataceae.
CAACAGGGAUUGCCUUAGUAACUGCGAGUGAAGCGGCAAAAGCUCAAAUUUGAAAUCUGACGUCUUCGGCGUCCGAGUUGUAAUUUGGAGGGAUAACUUCGGGGUUGGCGCCGUCCUAAGUUCCUUGGAACAGGACGUCACAGAGGGUGAGAAUCCCGUGCCUGGAUGGCUGUCCAACUCCAUGUGAAGUGUCUCCGACGAGUCGAGUUGUUUGGGAAUGCAGCUCAAAAUGGGUGGUAAAUUUCAUCUAAAGCUAAAUAUUGGCGAGAGACCGAUAGCGCACAAGUAGAGUGAUCGAAAGAUGAAAAGCACUUUGAAAAGAGAGUUAAAAAGUACGUGAAAUUGUUGAAAGGGAAGCGCUUGCGACCAGACUCGAUCUUUGGUGAUCAGCCGGGCUUCUGUCCGGUGCCCUCGCCAUUGAUUGGGCCAGCAUCGGUUCUGACGGCGGGAUAAAAGGAGGAGGAAUGUGGCUCCCUUCGGGGAGUGUUAUAGCCUCCUUCACAAUGCCGCCAGUUGGGACCGAGGACCGCGCUUCGGCUAGGAUGCUGGCGUAAUGGUCUUAAGCGACCCGUCUUGAAACACGGACCAAGGAGUCUAACAUCUAUGCGAGUGUUCGGGUGGAAAACCCUUGCGCGUAAUGAAAGUGAACGGAGGUGUGAACCCUUUACGGGGUGCAACAUCGACCGGUCCUGAUGUCUUCGGAAGGAUCUGAGUAAGAGCAUAGCUGUUGGGACCCGAAAGAUGGUGAACUAUGCCUGAAUAGGGUGAAGCCAGAGGAAACUCUGGUGGAGGCUCGCAGCGGUUCUGACG